This is a non-coding RNA of Paramisgurnus dabryanus, 1122 nucleotides long. NCBI's taxonomy places the organism in Eukaryota, Metazoa, Chordata, Actinopteri, Cypriniformes, Cobitidae. The record is from RefSeq and is a predicted model, not a curated record.
GAUUAAUAUGAACUGGGUUUGGACGUAACUUCAGCUUUAGGACCCAGGAGGUCGCAUAUCUAGGAUGCAUUCGUCGAUUCGCAUGCUGCGAUUGGUGGUCCAGAUGCAACUCAUUUUGAGUGACAGAAAAACUGACCAAUCAUACUGUUCCUCUGAAUGGGUGGGUUCUCUUAUCACUAACUCUCAUAGAUAUGUAUCAUGUAUGUAUCUAUUAUGACAAAUUCUGCUCGCUCUCUCGCUUGGUUCGUGUUAUAAAAAUAAAUGUGACUUUACUGCGGUCUUUUUCGGUUUAUUUAGUUUUGUGUUAAUUAUAUCCACAAAGUAUUCGAAUAAAUUGGUAAUGUAAAACUAUUCUUCGCUGUAAAUUAAUUGUGUGCUCAAUUGCGACGCCCUGUGUUGAAUUUUCCCGCGAGUACAGUAUCAUUACUGAGGGGAAAUAUAACAUUAUUCAUUUAAUUCCACAAAAGGCCUGUAACGUACUGCAGCUUCCUGCAGGCAACGUGAAACAUUGCUGAGGGAGAACUUUAUUCACAACAAAAGGAUAAAGAUGAAGAGGCGGGCCUUGAGCAGCUUGUGAUGGCUGUAAUUGUAAAGAAUGGAUCUUCUAGGAGUGGAAGCCCAAAGGAUGCUGGAAUUGUUAUUGAGGCCUUAAAGGUGUUCACAGGGCAUGCUUUAUCCUUGGAUCUAUGCAUUGAAUCUCCAGUAUCCCAGGCAUCUUUUCAGGUGUUUCAGAAACUUUUCUUGGAGCUGGAUUCUUCAAAGUUUAUGAACUGAUUACAGUACAGUAAGUCUAAACUGCUGUCUGAUUUUCUGGGUGUGAAUCAAUGUAACAGAACACAAACAUGGAACCUUUCGUCGGGAAAUGUGGACGGUUUUCUUUAAAGACUGGAAAAUACUUUUUGAAGUUUACACUGUUACAAAUACAUCAUUAAAAUGAGAUGCUUUCCUGUUCUUUUGACUGCAAUAAAAUAAGAAUUGAUUCAUCUUUGUCUGUCAUUCUGAAAUCAGAUAUAAUACUCAUUACUAAUAAAAAUAUUAAUGGAUGAUGUUAAAUUAAAAUAGUAUAAUUGAAUAGUAUUUAUUGUAUAGUGCUAGGUCUUUGUCCUGUAUACCCAAUAUUUU